AUGAGGCUCGGCGGCGGCAGCGGUCGCUGGCCUCUUCUGCACGUGCGUGCUCUGGGUCACGGCCUCCGGUUGCGGUUGUUGAAGCUUGUACGCCUCCGAUUCCUGUCGGGCCGCGUCAGGGGCAUGCUGAGCCAAGUGCAUCUUGCAGAAGACCUUCACCCCGUCGCUGACGGUGGCCUCCGGCAGCAGGCACCGGUACUCCUCCAUGACCCAGCCCGUGGACUUGCCCUUCUUCUUGAAGGACAGGUUCUUGACCUCGCCGACCUUGACUCCCGCGUGGCAAAUCUCCGUGGUCUUCUGGAUGGUUCAGGUGCCGGUGCCGGCGCCGCGCACGCUCUGGUGCUUGCUCCCGUUCUUGCUCUUGCACGUGGUGAAGAAGAACCGGUCGCCGCUGCUCACGGCCUGCGGCAUGGGCGCGUACCGGGCGGCCAGAUCCUUGGGCUCGCAGCCGGAGAUGUUGGCGCGGUGGAUGAGCUUGUCGACGCCGUGCAGCGUCUCGCCGGAGAGGAGGCGUGGUAG
This 519-nucleotide ribosomal RNA is filed under the name Triticum aestivum (bread wheat). RNAcentral's name for it is "partial small subunit ribosomal RNA". The record is from RNAcentral. Lineage: Eukaryota; Viridiplantae; Streptophyta; Magnoliopsida; Poales; Poaceae.